This 482-nucleotide ribosomal RNA is filed under the name uncultured bacterium. RNAcentral's name for it is "partial 16S ribosomal RNA". It matches the Rfam family "Bacterial small subunit ribosomal RNA", at positions 30 to 507 of the family's 1533-position model. The record is from RNAcentral.
AUUGAACGCUGGCGGCAUGCUUUACACAUGCAAGUCGAACGGUAACAGCACUUCGGUGGCUGACGAGUGGCGAACGGGUGAGUAAUACAUCGGAACGUGCCUAGUAGUGGGGGAUAACUACUCGAAAGAGUAGCUAAUACCGAAUGAGAUCUAAGGAUGAAAGCAGGGGACCUUCGGGACUUGCGCUACUAGAGCGGCUGAUGGCAGAUUAGGUAGUUGGUGGGAUAAAAGCUUACCAAGCCGACGAUCUGUAGCUGGUCUGAGAGGACGACCAGCCACACUGGGACUGAGACACGGCCCAGACUCCUACGGGAGGCAGCAGUGGGGAAUUUUGGACAAUGGGCGCAAGCCUGAUCCAGCAAUGCCGCGUGCAGGAUGAAGGCCUUCGGGUUGUAAACUGCUUUUGUACGGAACGAAAAGCCCUCUUCUAAUACAGGAGGGUCAUGACGGUACCGUAAGAAUAAGCACCGGCUAACUACGUG